This is a long non-coding RNA of Eubalaena glacialis (North Atlantic right whale), 636 nucleotides long. RefSeq lists it as uncharacterized. Lineage: Eukaryota; Metazoa; Chordata; Mammalia; Artiodactyla; Balaenidae. The record is from RefSeq and is a predicted model, not a curated record. The transcript is spliced from 3 exons.
AGCUCCACUUUCCACCACGUGAGGAUACUAGGAGAAGUCAUCAGUCUGUGACCUGGAAGAGGGCCCUCACCUGAACCUGACCAUGCCGGCACCCAGAUCUCAAACUUCCAGCCUCCAGAAUGAUUUGGUGAAUGGGUAACAAAGCACAGAAGUACCUCUACCAUGAUGUCUGCCAUCUGGCCCCUAGGCCCUUUUUACCUUGUGGGUGAAGUGACCUGGGCAAAAAAUAUUCCGGAUGUACACUGACCACCAACCAAGGCCUGACAUCUAGGCCCUACGCUAGCGUGGACACUCCUUGGAGGCCUAUCACAAGGGGCAAGUUUCAGAGAGUGGAAUUUCCUGGGUGUGGUAUUUACUCAAAGAAGCCAGAAACAGCAAAAAGAAAGGGUCCCUGUUGCAGGUUGGUUCCCAGCCAUAUGGAACUUCUUUCAGCUCUUCAGCAGCCAGGCUGUCUCUUGCCUCUGAGUGUUUGCGCUCUGCCUGAAAUUUCCUUCGUUAUCACUUCUUCAUCUGUGAAAACUCCAACUCACCCCGCAGACUUCUGCUUAAUCAUCACUGCCUCUGGUAGGCCCCCUUCCACUGCAGCCUGUCCCCCCAGCCCAAAUUAGGUGCUUCCAAUGCUCCAGGAGGACACAU